RNAcentral lists this ribosomal RNA (439 nucleotides) under uncultured Arcobacter sp. RNAcentral describes it as "bacterial SSU rRNA". It matches the Rfam family "Bacterial small subunit ribosomal RNA", at positions 408 to 863 of the family's 1533-position model. The record is from RNAcentral. Lineage: Bacteria; Pseudomonadati; Campylobacterota; Epsilonproteobacteria; Campylobacterales; Arcobacteraceae.
AUGACACAUUUCGGUGCGUAAACUCCUUUUAUAUAAGAAAGAUAAUGACGGUACUAUAUGAAUAAGCGCCGGCUAACUCCGUGCCAGCAGCCGCGGUAAUACGGAGGGCGCAAGCGUUACUCGGAAUCACUGGGCGUAAAGAGCGUGUAGGCGGAUAGAUAAGUCAGAAGUGAAAUCCUAUGGCUCAACCAUAGAACUGCUUUUGAAACUGUUUAUCUAGAGUGUGGGAGAGGUAGGUGGAAUUUCUGGUGUAGGGGUAAAAUCCGUAGAGGACAGAAGGAAUACCGAUUGCGAAGGCGAUCUACUGGAACAUAACUGACGCUGAGACGCGAAAGCGUGGGGAGCAAACAGGAUUAGAUACCCUGGUAGUCCACGCCCUAAACGAUGUCCACUAGUUGUUGUGAGGCUAGACCUUGCAGUAAUGCAGUAAACACAUUAA